CAGUCCGUGGCACCGCAAUCAGGGGUGGCGCCACCCCGCCCCGGGCCUCAGCGAAGACCUCCGCCCGGCCAACAUGGCUGGCGCCGCCUCUGCCACGUCAAGGGGAGGGGACGGGGCCUGAGGGCAGGAAGGGGGCAGGAAGGGGCGGGCGCAGAGUUACCGGGGCGGGCCACCGGACCCCUGAGCUUAAUAACCGGAGGAUUUGAGAAAGGCGCGCGGCGGGCGAAGGUCGCAGAAGGAGUGGAGAACUGGUGCCACUCGGACACCUUAGCUCACCGAGAGAAAUGGAGACGGCCUCCAGGACAUCUUAGGACCCUGGUUGAUUCCGAGAAUCACAAAUCACGUCUCUGAAAAAAGUGAAAAGUUCAUUGUUUCAUUUAGGACAACAAAUGUUUACUGAACACUUACUAUGUGCCAGACACAAUUGAGAUGCUGGUGAUAUGAUGCAGGCAAGGGAGGCCCAGAUCCCAGGCCCGAAAGAAUUCACGAACUAUUUAUGUAUUUUAGCCUGUCUUUUCCUCCUACAUUGCCUCUGCCACCUCAACUCUUGUCUCCCCCAAAACACACACACACAGUAUAAUAUUUGGCUGAUUCAUCUUGAUAUGUUCAAUGAUUUUCUUUCCAAGAAAAAAGUUGAACAAAAUGAGAAAGCAACAGAUUGGUAAGACAUUGGAGCUUGGUGGUCUCCGGCAACCCCAUCCUUCAGUGAGGGGAAUGAAAUUAAGUGCCCAUGGAAUUAAUUGCGUGUAUGACAACACCUAAAAGCCUGCAAAGUUUAGCCAUAUCAGCAUUUUAUGGAAU
This is a long non-coding RNA of Nomascus leucogenys (northern white-cheeked gibbon), 801 nucleotides long. RefSeq lists it as uncharacterized. The record is from RefSeq and is a predicted model, not a curated record. Lineage: Eukaryota; Metazoa; Chordata; Mammalia; Primates; Hylobatidae.